The sequence is a ribosomal RNA, 569 nucleotides long. It matches the Rfam family "Bacterial large subunit ribosomal RNA", at positions 1832 to 2600 of the family's 2925-position model.
CGCCUCUUGAACCCUUAUAAGAGGUCCAGCCUGCCCAGUGACUCUGUUCAACGGCCGCGGUAUCCUAACCGUGCGAAGGUAGCGUAAUCACUUGUUCUUUAAAUGUGGACUAGUAUGAAUGGCAUCACGAAGGUUAUACUGUCUCCUUUUUCUAAUCAGUGAAACUAAUCUCCCCGUGAAGAAGCGAGGAUAAAACUAUAAGACGAGAAGACCCUAUGGAGCUUUAAACAUUUAUAACACUUGCUAAAUAAAAUACAAAUUUCAGAAUUAUUCACUCUUUAAGCAACUUGUCUAUAAGUUUUUGGUUGGGGUGACCGCGGAGCAUAAUAUAACCUCCAUGUUGAAAGAUCUAUUUCUAAGCUAAGAGCUACACCGCUAAGCAUCAACAUAUUGACAUCCAUUGACCCAAUAUAUUUGAACAACGAACCAAGUUACCCUAGGGAUAACAGCGCAAUCCACUUCAAGAGCUCCUAUCGACAAGUGGGUUUACGACCUCGAUGUUGGAUCAGGGUUUCCCAGUGGUGCAGCCGCUACUAAAGGUUCGUUUGUUCAACGAUUAAAACCCUACG